This 72-nucleotide transfer RNA is filed under the name Phrynosoma platyrhinos (Desert horned lizard). Its description in RNAcentral is "tRNA-OTHER". Lineage: Eukaryota; Metazoa; Chordata; Lepidosauria; Squamata; Phrynosomatidae. The record is from RNAcentral.
GCCACUGUGGUGUAGUGGUUUGAAUAUUGGACUAUGACUCUGGAGAUCAGAGUUUGAUUCUCUGCUCAGCCC